AUGGGACCAGUAUUUCCCCGUGUGAGUUCCGAGGCUAGGAGACUCCCCUCCGAGUCCAGCUGCCCCGACCUCAGAUAUAAACAUCCACUGGAUUCCAGCCUCUUCCAUAGAUGGAAUUCUGGAAUACACGAAUGGAAGGGUGAGUCUCAAUACCCAGGCAUAGAGUCUUGCUGACAAAUGUGUAUCUGAGCCUGGAAACCCCUGAUUUAAUCCCCUGACUCAGAACAUGCUUUUUUUUUUUUUUUUUUUAAUGUUUAUUUUAUUUUUGACAGAGACAGAGACAGAAUGCGAGUGGGUUAGGGGCAGAGAAAGAGGGAGACACAGAAGCAGAAGCAGGCUCCAGGCUCUGAGCUGUCAGCACAGAGCCCGAGGCGGGGCUCGAACUCACGAGCUGUGAGAUCAUGACCUGAGGUGAAAUUGGACACCCAACCAACUGAGCCACUCAGGCGCCCGCAUGCUUUUUUUUUUUUAAAUGUUUAUUCAUUUUUUUUCUGAGAGAGGAAGCAUGAGUGGCGGAGGGUCAGAGAGAGAGAGAGGGGGACAGAGGACCCAAAGCAGGCUCUGAGCUGUCAGCAGCGAGCCCAAUAUAAGACUCAAACUCACAAACUGUGAGAUCAUGACCUGAGCUGAAGUCGGAUGCUCAACCGACUGAGCCACCCACGCGCCCCAGAUCAUACUUUUAAAAACUGUUGAGCCUGUUGGUGGGAACUGAAAGAGCCGUAUCUUGAAAGCUCCCACAGGGAAUGACUGGGGGCGGGAGGGGUGGGUCUGGCCUUCCCAGAAGAAGCAACGGGGCUCACCUACCAGUGAUGGGAGGCAGGCAGACCUCACAGCUAUAAACAAGGAUGCAAAGAAGCAACUGUGUGGGACCUGUGGUGGGCUGAGUAAUGCCCCCCCCAAAGAUGCCCACACCCCAAACCCUGGAUUUAUGAAGAUGUUACUGUGGCAAAAGGCACUUUGCAAUCGUAACUAAGCCUCUUGAGACGGGGGAGGGAUCAUCCUAGGUUAUCUUGGUGGCUCAAAACAAUCACAAGAGUCCUUAUAAGAGGAAGGCGGGAGGAUCAGAGUCAGAGAAGGUUAUGUGACAACAGAAGGAGAG
Molecule: long non-coding RNA, 1099 nt
Filed under: Felis catus (domestic cat)
Lineage: Eukaryota; Metazoa; Chordata; Mammalia; Carnivora; Felidae
Description: lncRNA (ENSFCAG00000050898.1)
Source: RNAcentral